Molecule: small nucleolar RNA, 148 nt
Filed under: Pelusios castaneus (West African mud turtle)
Lineage: Eukaryota; Metazoa; Chordata; Testudines; Pelomedusidae
Source: RNAcentral
CUUCAGUGAUGAUCCGAUGACGAGUCAGAAAAGGGAUAUUCCUGCUAAGUGCACCCUUUACUGUGUCAUGUUCUGUGAUGCUGUGCUUGGGUUCCUUAGCAGGAUGGUCCUGUUCACUGGAUGAUUUAGAGGCAUUUGUCUGAGAAGG